AUUGAACGCUGGUGGCAGGCCUAACACAUGCAAGUCGAGCGGAUGAAGGGAGCUUGCUCCUGGAUUCAGCGGCGGACGGGUGAGUAAUGCCUAGGAAUCUGCCUGGUAGUGGGGGAUAACGUCCGGAAACGGGCGCUAAUACCGCAUACGUCCUGAGGGAGAAAGUGGGGGAUCUUCGGACCUCACGCUAUCAGAUGAGCCUAGGUCGGAUUAGCUAGUUGGUGGGGUAAAGGCCUACCAAGGCGACGAUCCGUAACUGGUCUGAGAGGAUGAUCAGUCACACUGGAACUGAGACACGGUCCAGACUCCUACGGGAGGCAGCAGUGGGGAAUAUUAGACAAUGGGCGAAAGCCUGAUCCAGCCAUGCCGCGUGUGUGAAGAAGGUCUUCGGAUUGUAAAGCACUUUAAGUUGGGAGGAAGGGCAGUAAGUUAAUACCUUGCUGUUUUGACGUUACCAACAGAAUAAGCACCGGCUAACUUCGUG
RNAcentral lists this ribosomal RNA (484 nucleotides) under uncultured bacterium. RNAcentral describes it as "partial 16S ribosomal RNA". It matches the Rfam family "Bacterial small subunit ribosomal RNA", at positions 30 to 507 of the family's 1533-position model. The record is from RNAcentral.